Molecule: ribosomal RNA, 611 nt
Filed under: Genea arenaria
Lineage: Eukaryota; Fungi; Ascomycota; Pezizomycetes; Pezizales; Pyronemataceae
Description: eukaryotic LSU rRNA
Rfam family: Eukaryotic large subunit ribosomal RNA
Source: RNAcentral
UAAGCAUAUCAAUAAGCGGAGGAAAAGAAACCAACCGGGAUUGCCUCAGUAACUGCGAGUGAAGUGGCAAAAGCUCAAAUUUGAAAUCCGGUACCUUUUGGUGCCUGAGUUGUAAUUUGGAGAGACAAAUUUGGUUGAUGGCGCCGGCCUAGGUUCCUUUGAACAGGACAACAUAGAGGGUGAGAAUCCCGUUCCUGGCUGGAUGACCCGUCACAUUUCUAAAUUGUCUUCGACGAGUCGAGUUGUUUGGGAAUGCAGCUCAAAAUGGGUGGUAAAUGUCAUCUAAAGCUAAAUAUUGGCGAGAGACCGAUAGCGCACAAGUAGAGUGAUCGAAAGAUGAAAAGCACUUUGAAAAGAGAGUCAAAAAGUACGUGAAAUUGCUGAAAGGGAAGCGCUUGAGACCAGACUCGAACCGUGGUAAUCAGCCGUGCUUCUGUGCGGUGUCACUUGCCACGGUUUGGGCCAGCAUCGGUUCUGGCGGUCGGAUAAAAGGUGGAGGAAUGUAGCUUCCUUCGGGGAGUGUUAAUUUAGCCUCCACCACAAUGCGGCCAGCUGGGACCGAGGACCGCGCUUUGGCUAGGAUGCUGGCGUAAUGGUCUUAAGCGACCCGU